This 798-nucleotide ribosomal RNA is filed under the name Leptinella featherstonii. Its description in RNAcentral is "eukaryotic LSU rRNA". The stretch from base 367 to 522 matches the Rfam family "5.8S ribosomal RNA". Lineage: Eukaryota; Viridiplantae; Streptophyta; Magnoliopsida; Asterales; Asteraceae. The record is from RNAcentral.
CGCGGUUCGCUGCCUGCGACGUCGCGAGAAUUCCACUGAACCUUAUCAUUUAGAGGAAGGAGAAGUCGUAACAAGGUUUCCGUAGGUGAACCUGCGGAAGGAUCAUUGUCGAAUCCUGCAAAGCAGAACGACCCGUGAACAUGUAGCAACAUCUUGUGUUGGGUGUAUCGAGCAUUUGUUUGAGCUACCCAAUGCUUUGCCGAUGCGCAUUCAAUUGGGCCUUUUUGGUUCUUGUGAAUGUUGUAAAGGCACACUAACAAACCCCGGCACGGAAUGUGCCAAGGAAAACUAAAUUUAAGAAUGGCUCUUCCCAUUUGCCCCGUUUGCGGUGUGCUCAUGGGAUGUGGCUUCUUUGUAACUACAAACGACUCUCGGCAACGGAUAUCUCGGCUCACGCAUCGAUGAAGAACGUAGCAAAAUGCGAUACUUGGUGUGAAUUGCAGAAUCCCGUGAACCAUCGAGUUUUUGAACGCAAGUUGCGCCCGAAGCCUUUUGGUCGAGGGCACGUCUGCCUGGGCGUCACGCAUCGCAUCGCCCCCGCCUCACAAUCACUAUUAAGGUGUAUGAUUCGGGAGCGGAGAUUGGACUCCCGUGCUAAUGGCGCAGUUGUCUAAAAUAGGAGUCCCCUUUGAUGGACGCACAAUAAGUGGUGGUCGUCAAAACCCUCGUCUUUUGUUGUGCGUUAUGAGUUGCAAGGGAGAACACUUCACGAACCCUAAUGUGUUGUCUUUGGACGAUGCUUCGACCGCGACCCCAGGUCAGGCGGGACUACCCGCUGAGUUUAAGCAUAUCAAUAAG